GAUAACAGAACACUAUUCCCUAUCCUUGAGAACAUGACAGCAGAAAAGAUUGGUUUCUAAGAAGAGUUUUCCUUGAAGCUCUGGCUCCAUAACUUACGACCAUUUCAGGACACUUGCUCAUUCCUGGACUUUGGCUGAAGAAGCAGCCCCUGUCUAGGUCAUUGUUAGUCUUCUGGCAGAGGAAAUAGAAGGCAAGAGAAGACGUAUGUGAUGGCUCUUACAGCUUCUAUUAGAAAUGGAAUGUAUCACUUUCUCUCACAUUUCUCUGGCCAAAGAGACUGAGGAGAGAAAAUCUAACUAACCCAACAGAAGAAAAAGUUUCAAGAAAGAGAUUGUCACCAAUGCCAAAGUUGGCCAAGAUAUGCAGGUAGAAGACAAUGAAAACAAGACAACCGCAUUCAAUAAAGGAAGAUUAGCCCUGGGCUAACUGCUG
Molecule: long non-coding RNA, 433 nt
Organism: Equus quagga
Lineage: Eukaryota; Metazoa; Chordata; Mammalia; Perissodactyla; Equidae
Exons: 4
Source: RefSeq, a predicted model, not a curated record